GCGGCAGACGGCUCAGUAACACGUGGCUAACCUACCUUCAGGACGAGUACAAACCCGGGAAACUGGGGCUAAUACUCGAUAGGUGAGGAUGUCUGGAAUGACUUCUCUCCUAAAGGGCUUGGAUACAUGCUUCCAAGUCGCCUGGGGAUGGGGCGCGCGUCCGAUCAGGUUGUUGGUGAGGUAAUGGCUCACCAAGCCUAUAACCGGUACGGGCCGUGAGAGCGGUAGCCCGGAGAUGGGUACUGAGACAAGGACCCAGGCCCUACGGGGCGCAGCAGUCGCGAAAACUCCGCAAUGCACGAAAGUGUGACGGGGCUACCCCGAGUGCCACCCGCUGAGGGUGGCUUUUCUUUGGUAUGAUUAGCCAUUGGAAUAAGGAGAGGGCAAGACUGGUGUCAGCCGCCGCGGUAAUACCAGCUCUCCGAGUGGUAGGGAUGAUUAUUGGGCUUAAAGCGUCCGUAGCCGGCUUAGCAAGUUUCCUGUUAAACUCAGCGACUCAAUCGUUGACCCGCGGGAAAUACUACUAGGCUAGGAGGCGGGAGAGGUCGACGGUACUUCUGGGGUAGGGGUGAAAUCCUAUAAUCCCGGGAGGACCACCAGUGGCGAAGGCUGUCGACUAGAACGCGCUCGACGGUGAGGGACGAAAGCUGGGGGAGCGAACCGGAUUAGAUACCCGGGUAGUCCCAGCCGUAAACGAUGCGAGCUAGGUGUUGGGAUGGCUACGUGCCAUUUCAGUGCCGCAGGAAGCCAUUAAGCUCGCCGCUGGGGAGUACGGCGCAGGCUGAAACUUAAAGGAAUUGCGGGGGAGCACCACAAGGCGUGAAGCUUGCGGUUCAAUUGGAUU
RNAcentral lists this ribosomal RNA (844 nucleotides) under uncultured marine crenarchaeote. Its description in RNAcentral is "bacterial SSU rRNA". It matches the Rfam family "Archaeal small subunit ribosomal RNA", at positions 78 to 912 of the family's 1478-position model. The record is from RNAcentral. Lineage: Archaea; Thermoproteati; Thermoproteota.